AUUACCCAAUCCUGACACGGGGAGGUAGUGACAAGAAAUAACAAUACGGGGCUUAAUGUCUUGUAAUUGGAAUGAUGGGAAUUUAAACCUCUUCCAGAGUAUCAAUUGGAGGGCAAGUCUGGUGCCAGCAGCCGCGGUAAUUCCAGCUCCAAUAGCGUAUAUUAAAAUUGUUGCAGUUAAAAAGCUCGUAGUUGAAUUUCUGCUGCAUCGUCGCAUCUCUUGCUGAGUGCUUCGUUUCGGCUUAUUUCGGAUUGAUUUUUUCUUUCCGGAUGAUUACUUUGAGAAAAUUAGAGUGCUCAAAGCAGGCUUUUGCCUUGAAUAGUUUAGCAUGGAAUAAUAAAGUAGGACUUUGGUUCUAUUUUGUUGGUUUUAGGUACCAAAGUAAUGGUUAAUAGGAACAGUUGGGGGCAUUCGUAUUUAA
This 421-nucleotide ribosomal RNA is filed under the name Theileria sinensis. RNAcentral describes it as "SSU rRNA". It matches the Rfam family "Eukaryotic small subunit ribosomal RNA", at positions 440 to 901 of the family's 1831-position model. The record is from RNAcentral. Lineage: Eukaryota; Apicomplexa; Aconoidasida; Piroplasmida; Theileriidae.